Molecule: ribosomal RNA, 496 nt
Filed under: uncultured bacterium
Lineage: Bacteria
Description: partial 16S ribosomal RNA
Rfam family: Bacterial small subunit ribosomal RNA
Source: RNAcentral
GAUGAACGCUGGCGGCGUGCCUAAUACAUGCAAGUCGAGCGAACGGACGAGAAGCUUGCUUUUCUGAUGUUAGCGGCGGACGGGUGAGUAACACGUGGAUAACCUACCUAUAAGACUGGGAUAACUUCGGGAAACCGGAGCUAAUACCGGAUAAUAUUUUGAACCGCAUGGUUCAAAAGUGAAAGACGGUCUUGCUGUCACUAUAGAUGGAUCCGCGCUGCAUUAGCUAGUUGGUAAGGUAACGGCUUACCAAGGCAACGAUGCAUAGCCGACCUGAGAGGGUGAUCGGCCACACUGGAACUGAGACACGGUCCAGACUCCUACGGGAGGCAGCAGUAGGGAAUCUUCCGCAAUGGGCGAAAGCCUGACGGAGCAACGCCGCGUGAGUGAUGAAGGUCUUCGGAUCGUAAAACUCUGUUAUUAGGGAAGAACAUAUGUGUAAGUAACUGUGCACAUCUUGACGGUACCUAAUCAGAAAGCCACGGCUAACUACGUG